AAAUCACAGAUAACUACUAGGAGGCCUCACUCUGAGUAAUAUCAAAGUUUUUUCCCACAAGAACCGCUCGGAGAUGCCCGGACUCAGUUUUUAUUUUCGUCCCAAUACUUUUCUUCCAAUGGACUAGUUGUGUUUCUUUGAUCUUGUGCAACCUCUUUAGGCCGAUGAUAGCCAGCGGAUAGGUGUGGAAACCCAUCUAUAUUGCACCCAGUACGACACAGAAAAAAAGCCCAGGGGCCUAGGGGUCGGGUGGGGCUCGUUCGGGUGCACAACGGUUGCGCCAAAAACGGUCCAAAAAUGGCCAAGGCUUUACCAUACGAAAAAUCGGUCCGAUUUUUAACCAUGUGAGAAACGUCCCGAAAAUUCACAGAUAACUACUAGGAGGCCUCACUCUGAGUAAUAUCAAAGUUUUUUCCCACAAGAACCGCUCGGAAUGCCCGGACUCAGUUUUAUUUUCGUCCCAAUACUUUUCUUCCAAUGACUAGUUUGUUUCUUUGAUCUUGUGCAACCUCUUUAGCCGAUGAUAGCCCGGAUAGGUGUGGAAACCCAUCUAUAUUGCACCCAGUACGACACAGAAAAAAAGCCCAGGGCCUAGGGUCGUGGGGCUCGUUCGGGUGCACAACGGUUGCGCCAAAAACGGUCCAAAAAUGGCCAAGGCUUUACCAUACGAAAAAUCGGCCGAUUUUUAACCAUGUGACAAACGUCCCGAAAUUCACAGAUAACUACUAGGAGGCCUCACUCUGAGUAAUAUCAAAGUUUUUUCCCACAAGAACCGCUCGGAGAUGCCCGGACUCAGUUUUUAUUUUCGUCCCAAUACUUUUCUUCCAAUGACUAGUUGUGUUUCUUUGAUCUUGUGCAACCUCUUUAGGCCGAUGAUAGCCCCGGAUAGUGUGGAAACCCAUCUAUAUUGCACCCAGUACGACACAGAAAAAAAGCCCAGGGCCUAGGGUCGGGUGGGGCUCGUUCGGGGUGCACAACGGUUGCGCCAAAAAACGUCCAAAAAUGGCCAAGCUUUACCAUACGAAAAAUCGGUCCGAUUUUUAACCAUGUGAGAAACGUCCCGAAAAUUCACAGAUAACUACUAGGAGGCCUCACUCUGAGUAAUAUCAAAGUUUUUCCCACAAGAACCGCUCGGAGAUGCCCGACUCAGUUUUUUAUUUUCGUCCCAAUACUUUCUUCCAAUGGACUAGUUGUGUUUCUUUGAUCUUGUGCAACCUCUUUAGGCCGAUGAUAGCCCGCGGAUAGUGUGAAACCCAUCUAUAUUGCACCCAGUACGACACAGAAAAAAAGCCCAGGCCUAGGGGUCGGGUGGGCUCGUUCGGGGUGCACAACGGUUGCGCCAAAAACGGUCCAAAAAUGGCCAAGGCUUUACCAUACGAAAAAUCGGCCGAUUUUUAACCAUGUGAGAAACGUCCCGAAAAUUCACAGAUAACUACUAGGAGGCCUCACUCUGAGUAAUAUCAAAGUUUUUUCCCACAAGAACCGCUCGGAGAUGCCCGACUCAGUUUUAUUUUCGUCCCAAUACUUUUCUUCCAAUGGACUAGUUGUGUUCUUUGAUCUUGUGCAACCUCUUUAGCCGAUGAUAGCCCGCGGAUAGGUGUGGAAACCCAUCUAUAUUGCACCCAGUACGACACAGAAAAAAAGCCCAGGGCCUAGGGUCGGGUGGGGCUCGUUCGGGUGCACAACGUUGCGCCAAAAACGGUCCAAAAAUGGCCAAGGCUUUACCAUACGAAAAAUCGGCCGAUUUUUAACCAUGUGAGAAACGUCCCGAAAAUUCACAGAUAACUACUAGGAGGCCUCACUCUGAGUAAUAUCAAAGUUUUUUCCCACAAGAACCGCUCGGAGAUGCCCGGACUCAGUUUUUAUUUUCGUCCCAAUACUUUUCUUCCAAUGGACUAGUUGUGUUCUUUGAUCUUGUGCAACCUCUUUAGGCCGAUGAUAGCCCGCGAUAGUGUGGAAACCCAUCUAUAUUGCACCCAGUACGACACAGAAAAAAAGCCCAGGGCCUAGGGGUCGGGUGGGCUCGUUCGGGGUGCACAACGGUUGCGCCAAAAACGGUCCAAAAAUGGCCAAGCUUUACCAUACGAAAAAUCGGCCGAUUUUUUAACCAUGUGAGAAACGUCCCGAAAAUUCACAGAUAACUACUAGAGGCCUCACUCUGAGUAAUAUCAAAGUUUUUUCCCACAAAACCGCUCGAGAUGCCCGACUCAGUUUUUAUUUUCGUCCCAAUACUUUUCUUCCAAUGGACUAGUUGUGUUUCUUUGAUCUUGUGCAACCUCUUUAGGCCGAUGAUAGCCCGCGGAUAGGUGUGGAAACCCAUCUAUAUUGCACCCAGUACGACACAAAAAAAAAGCCCAGGCCUAGGGGUCGGGUGGGGCUCGUUCGGGUGCACAACGGUUGCGCCACAACGGUCCAAAAAUGGCCAAGGCUUUACCAUACGAAAAAUCGGCCGAUUUUUAACCAUGUGAGAAACGUCCCGAAAAUUCACAGAUAACUACUAGGAGCCUCACUCUGAGUAAUAUCAAAGUUUUUUCCCACAAGAACCGCUCGGAGAUGCCCGACUCAUUUUUAUUUCUCGUCCCAAUACUUUCUUCCAAUGGACUAGUUGUGUUUCUUUGAUCUUGUGCAACCUCUUUAGGCCGAUGAUAGCCGCGAUAGGUGUGGAAACCCAUCUAUAUUGCACCCAGUACGACACAGAAAAAAAGCCAGGGCCUAGGGUCGGGUGGGCUCGUUCGGGUGCACAACGUUGCGCCAAAAACGUCCAAAAAUGCCAAGGCUUUACCAUACGAAAAAAUCGGCCGAUUUUUAACCAUGUGAGAAACGUCCCGAAAAUUCACAGAUAACUACUAGGAGGCCUCACUCUGAGUAAUAUCAAAGUUUUUUCCCACAAGAACCGCUCGAGAUGCCCGACUCAGUUUUUAUUUCGUCCCAAUACUUUUCUUCCAAUGACUAGUUGUGUUUCUUUGAUCUUGUGCAACCUCUUUAGCCGAUGAUAGCCCGCGGAUAGUGUGGAAACCCAUCUAUAUGCACCCAGUACGACACAGAAAAAAAGCCCAGGGCCUAGGGUCGGGUGGGCUCGUUCGGGGUGCACAACGGUUGCGCCAAAAACGGUCCAAAAAUGGCCAAGGCUUUACCAUACGAAAAAUCGGCCGAUUUUAAACCAUGUGAAAACGUCCCGAAAAUUCACAGAUAACUACUAGGAGCCUCACUCUGAGUAAUAUCAAAGUUUUUCACACAAAACCGCUCGGAGAUGCCCGGACUCAGUUUUUAUUUUCGUCCCAAUACUUUUCUUCCAAUGGACUAGUUGUGUUUCUUUGAUCUUGUGCAACCUCUUUAGGCCGAUGAUAGCCCGCGGAUAGUGUGGAAAACCCAUCUAUUGCACCCAGUACGACACAGAAAAAAAGCCCAGGGCCUAGGGUCGUGGUGCUCGUUCGUGCACAACGUUGCGCCAAAAACGGUCCAAAAAUGGCCAAGGCUUUACCAUACGAAAAAUCGGCCGAUUUUUAACCAUGUGAAAACGUCCCGAAAAUUCACAGAUAACUACUAGGAGGCCUCACUCUGAGUAAUAUUCAAAGUUUUUUCCCACAAGAACCGCUCGAGAUGCCCGGACUCAGUUUUUAUUUUCGUCCCAAUACUUUUUUCCAAUGACUAGUUGUGUUUCUUGAUCUUGUGCAACCUCUUUAGGCCGAUGAUAGCCGCGGAUAGUGUGGAAACCCAUCUAUAUUGCACCCAGUACGACACAGAAAAAAAGCCCAGGCCUAGGUCGGGUGGGCUCGUUCGGGUGCACAACGGUUGCGCCAAAAACGGUCCAAAAAAUGGCCAAGGCUUUACCAUACGAAAAAUCGGCCGAUUUUUAACCAUGUGAAACGUCCCGAAAAUUCACAGAUAACUACUAGAGCCUCACUCUGAGUAAUAUCAAAGUUUUUUCCCACAAGAACCGCUCGAGAUGCCCGACUCAGUUUUUAUUUUCGUCCCAAUACUUUUCUUCCAAUGACUAGUUGUGUUUCUUUGAUCUUGUGCAACCUCUUUAGGCCGAUGAUAGCCCGCGGAUAGGUGUGGAAACCCAUCUAUAUUGCACCCAGUACGACACAGAAAAAAAAGCCA
Molecule: long non-coding RNA, 4104 nt
Filed under: Cucumis sativus (cucumber)
Lineage: Eukaryota; Viridiplantae; Streptophyta; Magnoliopsida; Cucurbitales; Cucurbitaceae
Description: long non-coding RNA (CSAT_LNC001741)
Source: RNAcentral